This is a long non-coding RNA of Entelurus aequoreus (snake pipefish), 190 nucleotides long. RefSeq lists it as uncharacterized. The transcript is spliced from 2 exons. NCBI's taxonomy places the organism in Eukaryota, Metazoa, Chordata, Actinopteri, Syngnathiformes, Syngnathidae. The record is from RefSeq and is a predicted model, not a curated record.
UUUUUAACCAGUCACCAGCCAGCCCCCUAAUUCCAUAUCUUCCCAUUUUAUCUAGUAGAAUUGAAUGAUUAAUGGUAUCAAAUGCUUUCUUUAGAUCAGGGGUCACCAACGCGGUGCCCGCGGGCACCAGGUCGCCCGUAAGGACCAGAUGAGUCGCCCGCGGGCCUGUUCUAAAAAAAAAAAAAAUAAA